GGAAGGACUCAUUCUGGGUGUUAACACAGCAGGGAACUGGAAGAAUCAGAACUGGAAGAAGAAGAAGUGAUUGGCAUGCUGACACGCUGCUGUAAGAAUUGCAGUGGGGAACAAUUACAUUGCUCAAAGAACACUUCACAAUUGGAGGGAAGAGAAUUAUGUCAGUGCUGAAGGAUUUCACAGCUGUACUCCAAAACAAACCUGGAAAUGUACAUUAUAGGUACUGGAAGCAAAAGAGUCUAUUAUUUUGUCUUCUUUUAGUUCCUCGAGGUGGUCCUGAUGGAAGCUGGAGAACCACUGUUAUACUGACUGUCAAUGAUGACGAUAAAGUUCCUGUCGUCAGCCUACUGAAGGAAGGGUCUUGGAAAGCAUUCAGGUCAUCAGCUGCUAUGCUAUGAACAUGCUCAGGCAACUCACAGAGAGGCCCUUGUCAUGGGAAACUGAGGCUGCCAGAAAGAAACCACCCAAGUGAGUUUGGCAGCAGAUUCUUCAGUCUCAGUCAAGCGUUGAGAUGACUGCAGCCUUGACAGACAGCACAACUGCAGCCUCGAGAGAAAGCCUGAGCCAGAGGCACCCAGCUAAGCUGUGCCCAGAUUUCUUAACUACAGAACUGGUGAUUAAUAAAUGUUUGCUGUUUUAAACCA
This is a long non-coding RNA of Homo sapiens (human), 644 nucleotides long. RefSeq lists it as uncharacterized. The transcript has 3 exons. Lineage: Eukaryota; Metazoa; Chordata; Mammalia; Primates; Hominidae. The record is from RefSeq and is a predicted model, not a curated record.